This 526-nucleotide ribosomal RNA is filed under the name uncultured bacterium. RNAcentral's name for it is "bacterial SSU rRNA". It matches the Rfam family "Bacterial small subunit ribosomal RNA", at positions 8 to 526 of the family's 1533-position model. The record is from RNAcentral.
AGAGUUUGAUCAUGGCUCAGAUUGAACGCUGGCGGCAGGCCUUACACAUGCAAGUCGAACGGUAGCACAGAGAGCUUGCUCUCGGGUGACGAGUGGCGGACGGGUGAGUAAUGUCUGGGGAACUGCCCGAUGGAGGGGGAUAACUACUGGAAACGGUAGCUAAUACCGCAUAACGUCGCAAGACCAAAGAGGGGGACCUUCGGGCCUCUUGCCAUCGGAUGUGCCCAGAUGGGAUUAGCUAGUAGGUGGGGUAACGGCUCACCUAGGCGACGAUCCCUAGCUGGUCUGAGAGGAUGACCAGCCACACUGGAACUGAGACACGGUCCAGACUCCUACGGGAGGCAGCAGUGGGGAAUAUUGCACAAUGGGCGCAAGCCUGAUGCAGCCAUGCCGCGUGUAUGAAGAAGGCCUUCGGGUUGUAAAGUACUUUCAGCGAGGAGGAAGGCAUUAAGGUUAAUAACCUUGGUGAUUGACGUUACUCGCAGAAGAAGCACCGGCUAACUCGUGCCAGCAGCCGCGGUAAUAC